UUUUUAAGCUAAGUAUAUCCCAUGUAAUAUUUGGGAUAUACUUACCCUAAAA
RNAcentral lists this microRNA precursor (52 nucleotides) under Equus asinus (donkey). RNAcentral describes it as "mir-1302 microRNA precursor family". It matches the Rfam family "mir-1302 microRNA precursor family". RNAcentral also lists the same sequence under 1 other name. Lineage: Eukaryota; Metazoa; Chordata; Mammalia; Perissodactyla; Equidae. The record is from Rfam by way of RNAcentral.